This 74-nucleotide transfer RNA is filed under the name Zoroaster ophiactis. RNAcentral describes it as "tRNA-Leu". It matches the Rfam family "tRNA". Rfam says of the family: Transfer RNA (tRNA) molecules are approximately 80 nucleotides in length. Their secondary structure includes four short double-helical elements and three loops (D, anti-codon, and T loops). The record is from RNAcentral. Lineage: Eukaryota; Metazoa; Echinodermata; Asteroidea; Forcipulatida; Zoroasteridae.
GUUAAAGUAGCAAAGAUGGAAAAUGCAAGAAGUCUAAGUUUUCUUUAUCAAAGGUUCGAGUCCUUUCUUUAAUU